UGCUAAAAGAAUGCAUGAGAUGCUAAGUAUGGACUAUUUUGGAUAAUGACUAUAUGUAUGUUGACAUAUCAUGUGAUGCUAGUGGUAUAUGUGCAUGAUGAUAUAUUAUGAAUUUACAUAUUGUGGAUUAUGUUAAAUAGAAAAACAUACUUGAUGACAUAUUGCCAUGUGGUGGAACAUAGUGGACAAUCUACAUAUAUAUUAGAUCGAGUGGCAUUAAACCUUGUAUCUUGAACCUAGCAAACACUUGUGGUGAUUGAGCAUGUAUAUUCUGGUGUCAUUCAUGUAUGUUAGGACCCUAUUAUUGUGUGAAUGUGAGAGUCGGACUUGGACAAUAGUAAACAAGGGUGACAAUGAAAAUAGAGACAUGAUUGGCAUCAAGAAAGUGGUUGUUAAAUAUAGUUUAACCAUAUUGACAUUGGUCCAAGUUGACAUAGAGAGUGGCAUGAUUAAAUAGGUAGAGACCUAUCAUGACAUUGGCAUUGUGACGAGUGGCUAUGAAUCCUCAAGUUGAGGAUUGGAUCGAUACUCACGUUACGUCUUGGCUUGAGGGAGGUAGCUCCCCCUCGGGCGGUGCGCUCCGGAGUUGGUCACCACUGGGCGUGGUAAAGUCCCCCCAGAUGACGGU
This 628-nucleotide long non-coding RNA is filed under the name Ananas comosus (pineapple). RNAcentral's name for it is "long non-coding RNA (ACOM_LNC032650)". Lineage: Eukaryota; Viridiplantae; Streptophyta; Magnoliopsida; Poales; Bromeliaceae. The record is from RNAcentral.